Molecule: ribosomal RNA, 1060 nt
Filed under: Staphylococcus aureus
Lineage: Bacteria; Bacillati; Bacillota; Bacilli; Caryophanales; Staphylococcaceae
Description: partial 23S ribosomal RNA
Rfam family: Bacterial large subunit ribosomal RNA
Source: RNAcentral
GCUUGCUUGUUGGGGUUGUAGGACACUCUAUACGGAGUUACAAAGGACGACAUUAGACGAAUCAUCUGGAAAGAUGAAUCAAAGAAGGUAAUAAUCCUGUAGUCGAAAAUGUUGUCUCUCUUGAGUGGAUCCUGAGUACGACGGAGCACGUGAAAUUCCGUCGGAAUCUGGGAGGACCAUCUCCUAAGGCUAAAUACUCUCUAGUGACCGAUAGUGAACCAGUACCGUGAGGGAAAGGUGAAAAGCACCCCGGAAGGGGAGUGAAAUAGAACCUGAAACCGUGUGCUUACAAGUAGUCAGAGCCCGUUAAUGGGUGAUGGCGUGCCUUUUGUAGAAUGAACCGGCGAGUUACGAUUUGAUGCAAGGUUAAGCAGUAAAUGUGGAGCCGUAGCGAAAGCGAGUCUGAAUAGGGCGUUUAGUAUUUGGUCGUAGACCCGAAACCAGGUGAUCUACCCUUGGUCAGGUUGAAGUUCAGGUAACACUGAAUGGAGGACCGAACCGACUUACGUUGAAAAGUGAGCGGAUGAACUGAGGGUAGCGGAGAAAUUCCAAUCGAACCUGGAGAUAGCUGGUUCUCUCCGAAAUAGCUUUAGGGCUAGCCUCAAGUGAUGAUUAUUGGAGGUAGAGCACUGUUUGGACGAGGGGCCCCUCUCGGGUUACCGAAUUCAGACAAACUCCGAAUGCCAAUUAAUUUAACUUGGGAGUCAGAACAUGGGUGAUAAGGUCCGUGUUCGAAAGGGAAACAGCCCAGACCACCAGCUAAGGUCCCAAAAUAUAUGUUAAGUGGAAAAGGAUGUGGCGUUGCCCAGACAACUAGGAUGUUGGCUUAGAAGCAGCCAUCAUUUAAAGAGUGCGUAAUAGCUCACUAGUCGAGUGACACUGCGCCGAAAAUGUACCGGGGCUAAACAUAUUACCGAAGCUGUGGAUUGUCCUUUGGACAAUGGUAGGAGAGCGUUCUAAGGGCGUUGAAGCAUGAUCGUAAGGACAUGUGGAGCGCUUAGAAGUGAGAAUGCCGGUGUGAGUAGCGAAAGACGGGUGAGAAUCCCGUCCACCGAUUGAC